UAUUUUUUUGGAUGUAAGCGACGAAGGUUCGAGGCAAGUCUGCUUUAUCUAUGCUGGUAGCGACGAUUUCAACGGAAAUGUGUUCGACAAUGACAGAAGAAGAAAAUCUGGUAAAGCAGAUUAAUUUUUUAACAGAUCUCAUCAACAAAGGCAAACUUAAGAAUGAGAAUAGAGCUGCCCAUGCAAAACAAGAAGUGUCUUCCAUUAACAGAUUCAACCCAUAUCACGCAAAAGAUUUUUCCUGGAAACGGACAGACAAAAUGCACAAUGAACAGCCACCUUUGACGAAAAUCAAGACCAGUUGGUAUAAAGAUAGCACAAAACUUUCUUGUAUGAGACCCUUAACUACACAUGAUUUGUCAAGAUCAGUAAUUCUCAAGGAAGGCCACUCACAAAAGGUGCCGGUAAGGAGUGCAGAAAGCGUAGUUCGGUGCUGUGGAAAUGAAAAUACCAUCAGUGCAAGUCAUGAUCAAGGGCAAAGACAGUUUUCCUACAGCACUGAAUGUAAUUCUGAUGUCAGUAAAGAACAAGUUAUACAGGCAAGAAAACAGAUGAAGAGAAAUAUUGACAGUCUUAAAAUAAAAAUAGAAGAGCUGAGGGCUGCAAAAAAGGCAAAAAAAGAAAAUAAGGCAAGCAUUGAGAGUAAUAAACAGGAGUCACAAGAGAAAAGCUUGGAUCACAGUGGAAAGGUAGACAUUUCUACUGCCAAAGGUCAGGUCACUUUGAAAGAUACUGAAACCAACAGCACUAAGCAUGAAAUGUUUGCUGUGGCAGAUCCCAUACCAGUAUACACUGGACAUGAGUUUAGCAAAAGUGUAGACUGUAUGAAAACAAGGACUGACAUUAGUCAUUCACAAAAAAAUCUUUCCUCACAGGAAAGUUCAAGCUUAGAAGCAUAUUCUAACCUACAGGAGAGAGGUUUGGUUUGUGAUAAAAUGCAAGAUAGGGAUUAUAAACAGCAGAGUAUGUGUAAUGCUACAAAGGAUGCAAGAAUUACAGAGAAAAAAGCAAAAAUAAGGCAGCCUACUUUAAUAAAAAAGUCAGCAGUUGAAAAACUUAGAGAAGAGCUGAAAGCAACAGAAGAGAAACUGCAGUACAUGAGGAAAAAAAUGGACUUUAUGUUAAACGAGCCACCUCUCAAAGUAAGUGCAGCUCUUGUCAUGUGCAGCAAUGCAGGCAAAAGCUCUUUCCUUAAGGCAGCUUCAGAUUCAGCAAAAACUAUUGAUGGGAUAAACAUAGAUGGAUUAGGUACUCGGGUGAUAGAAAAAACUUCCAGUGAUGUAUCACCAGUUCCAGAGUCCAGCAAGCCAUUUUCAGGUAGGACACCAAAAGCAGCAUCAGGAUCACAGGAUACAAAUAACACGCAUGUUAUUGGCUUUUCUUUGUCCACAAAACAUUGCUUGAAACAAUCAUUUAAAUCACCACAUGUUCAGAAGAAUAGUGUGAGUGUCAACAAGGAAUUAGAUACAAGUCCGUGUAUUAUUGCCUCAAACACCCAUAGCAGUAACAAUUCUCAGUUCAGAUAUGUGAAAAUUCCCAAGCGAGACAGAGGCAAGUUGCCAUCAAAGGUGCCUCAUCCAAAAAGCAGUCAGCCUGCACAAUGUCUUUUGAAAAGACAUUUUUUGAAAAAAGUGAACACAGAUGUGUUGCAAAAUCAAGCAGGAAAAACAAAUGUAAGCAUGCAUACUGAUAAUUCACCUAUUUGUGUGAGGACCCAGUUUAAACUUGUAAAAAAUCCAUCUUCAUCUGGGAUCUUUUCAGCACAUGCAUCCCAGCCAUUCAGAAAGUUAACCCAUCAUUACACAAGCAAUAAACAAGUCAGACUAGAAAGCGCAACUCAGCACCCAAGUUCACUGUAUUUUCGGUCUAAAGCACAAUCUUCAUUUGGGUAUGGUCGUAGUUUUUAUCAGAAAAAGUGGGAUAUUCUGAAAAGAAGAGGAAGUUAUAGAUCUGGACUGCUGAGGCACUUCUCCACAACCUUUUGUGUUCCACAAUAUGGGUACAGAACUCGGCCAGCUGCAUUUAUGCGAUCCAAGACAGACAAACUACAAGGGUAUAGAUACCAGUGGAAGCGCCGGUCACAGGAAACAUGUUCUAGAAGCUAUAGAAGUAUUAACUACAUGAAGCUACAGCAACAGCAGAUGAGAAACCGCAUCAACCUGAUGAUGAAAAAUAGUUCAAGGGGAAGAAUUAAUUGUAGCCCCUCUAAGCUGCAAACAGGGCGUGGGAGACAUGAACGAUUGUUGCUGAUUAAUGGCAUCUUGUACAAGUCAAGCACCACUCAUCUCAUGAAAGCUUCAACCCCUGUAUCUUCCAAAAGACGUUUCACUCAUACAGCUUCUAACAAGUCAGUUGUUGUCAAGAGCAUGAACAAAACAAAAAUGCAAUCAGUUACUGUUCGAGGUGUACGGUUCAGUGUGGACCUCAGUGGGAAAAGGUUAAGGAGAGACUUAAGUAGCACUUAUCAAGAAAAGUCUGCAUCUGUGUCACGUGUUGACAUUGGUGGAACCACUUAUGUAGAGACUAGGCAGGGGAUUUUGGAAAGAAUGUAUGAUCAUCAGACCCGCACUGUUGUCAACCGUGUAAAGCAGCGAUGUAUUGCCUUGGCAACUGCCAAAUUCAGGAAGAACAACACAAAAGACCAAAUAAAGCUCUGCUUAUUCUUUUGUCGCUUUGGAAAGUGCGGCCGUGGAGACAAGUGCCCUUAUGUUCAUGACCCUGAUAAGAUUGCUGUGUGCACAAGAUUCCUUCGAGGAACAUGCAAAAUAGAGAAAUGCCCUUACUCCCAUAAAGUGGCAAAGGAAAAGAUGCCAGUCUGUGCCUUUUUCUUACGAGGAGUGUGUACACGUGAGGAUUGUCCUUAUUUACAUGUUAAGGUCAACCAGGGAGCAGAAUUGUGUGAAGACUUUAUUACUGGAUUUUGUUCUCUUGCCGAGAAGUGCCCCAAGCUUCAUUCACUGAGCUGCCCAGCAUUUGCCAAGACUGGCAAGUGUGAAGCAGGGAAAAAGUGUCACCUGGUCCAUAGGAGAGCAAAAGCAGCCAGACAAAAGGAUACAUCAACAGACCGCAAUUUAAACAGACCAGCUAUGAAACAGCCUUCAAGAUCAGCAGCCAAAGAACAAACAGUUGAGGAAGGGCAGAAUGAAGUUUCCCAGUGCAAGAUAAUGCAGUUUCCUGGAUUUAUUUCCCUAGCAGACUACAGCCCAAAGGAAUUAUUGACACAAACUUCAUCACAUGGUACAAGAAGAUGUUCUGAAUGCCCACAGACAAGUUCGAGUUGUGGACUUCAUAUCAAACCUCGACUAUGAAAUGUCAAUUCUGCUGAUAGCUCAUCCAUUUGUUUCCUGGAAAGCUGGAUCUGCUAAUUUUCAAAUUACCAACAGACUUCUUCAAUGUGCAAUUCUGUAUCUCUAGUAAUUUAGAUAUAUAUGUAAGAUGACUGUAUAUUUUGUCUAAAGAUAAGACAAAACAUUAUGAUAUGAAGAAUGGGUUCCUUGUCAGGAGCAUAUUUUAACUUGAACAAUUGUCUUUCAUGAUCUAAUAACCACUGUGAUGAGUCGCAGAUCUUAUUUGAUCUAAAAGCUGUGACAAUACAAUGACUUUUAUCAGGGCUUCUGCUAAGGCUAAAUUCUUUGGGGUCCCAGGACCCCUUCUUCAGAUUUUUAAGUCGUCCCUGUUCUUCACCCAACUUUGAAUGGGACCCCAUCGACGAAAAUUGAAGGGGUCCUCCGAACUUUUAAUGCGUACUGUACGCAAUUUUUUGCGUAAGCAGAAGCCCUGCUUUUAUCUCUGUUUGCGAUGUAUUCCAAACCCUUUUUCAAGAGGCUCUUAAGUUUUUGGAGGAAAGGAACAUGCUGAGAGAGCAAAAUUUAGAGACUUGUAUAUUGCUCUGUCUAGGAUAUACUAUACUGGAAAUUGAAAAAAUAAUAACAAUUUUGCGUACAAAAGGCUAGAUGUGUUUAAAGAGGAAACAAAUAAAUUUAAAACGGAAUGCUUAAAUUUUUCCAAAGACAUCGACAAGUCACCUUUGAUCAACACCAAAACUUACUUAAAUUCUACCAGUCUACCAAAUUCAGAGAAGUAAAGGAGAAAUAUAAGAAAUAACAACAGGCAAAGAGAAAACUUUACUGGACACAUCUGCAGUUGGAUGUACAAGGAGGGGCAAAGAGGCAAGUAUUUUCUACUGGAGAAAAAAGUAACCCGUGGAAGGAAAAAAAUGUGAUCAAUCUAAUUCAACAUCAGGAAAAAAUAAACAAAGGAAAACAUCAAUGGAUAUGUUUCCUGUUAGAUGAUAGUGUUAGACUAUGAACAGGAAAAUCAGUAUUUACUAAACAAAAAACUUCUAUCUGCAGGUAUCAGAUUUACUUGGUCUAGAAGGGUAGGUGCCUGCCUAAAUGAGCUUCAUAAAUAUGAACCCUUAAUUGUAGUAGUCCAUUGUUUUAAAGUUCUGUAUCAAAUGUUGGACUGACCAUGUUGGCAAAUCUCAUUGUAUAGACCUGAAAAUAAAAUCAGAUGAACACAAAA
Molecule: unclassified non-coding RNA, 4524 nt
Filed under: Pomacea canaliculata
Lineage: Eukaryota; Metazoa; Mollusca; Gastropoda; Architaenioglossa; Ampullariidae
Description: uncharacterized LOC112553485, transcript variant X1
Source: RNAcentral